Molecule: long non-coding RNA, 1513 nt
Organism: Triplophysa rosa
Lineage: Eukaryota; Metazoa; Chordata; Actinopteri; Cypriniformes; Nemacheilidae
Exons: 3
Source: RefSeq, a predicted model, not a curated record
GUUCUCCCGUCACUCCUACUGACGCCAUCGUGAGUUCCAAACGGAUGAAUCAGCAUUUCUAUUACACGAAAAUGUAAAGAGGUCAGUGUCGACUCGUGUAGAGAUACGGUAACGUCAUGAAGAGACACUUCGUCUUUCUUCAUACACAGCUGGCAAUCGCCGAGGUGGAUUCUCGUGGCCUUGGAGGGACGACCAAUGAGCUUCUUCUUAUACUUGAACUGACAGGACAUCCUCAACUCUUAAGGCUGGGACACACCGAGCCGGCAGUCGGACGUCUGGCAAUGUCAGGUGGUUUUUAAGCGUUGGUUGGCUUUAGUUUUGUUGGUGUGUUCUGCACCGUCACCUCUCGUCAGAUGCCUCCAGCUGUUUUUUGACCGAUUUUGCUUAUCGGAGAGAAAGAGAACUCCGAUUGGCUGUUCAGUUUAGUGAAUGAGCACAUGAGAAAAAAAUAAUGGAACUGAUGAAAGCAAACCACUGUAGUAUCCACGAGUGGCCUCUCCUUGUACGUUUCUUUCCUUUUUAGACAAGAAAAACAGAUAAUGCCAGUGCAGACUGAAAUUUAGUGGCUUGCUUAUAGUUCUAACUUUUCCGGUUUCCCUGUUUGAGUGUCAACCGCCACCUGCUGGUAUGGAAAAGUAAUGUUCUCAGAGCGUCAUCGCUAUUGAUUGUUGACUGUUGUCUGUCUGGUGCGUUCAAGUGCAACUUUUUUUGCCCGUACGCAGGCGAUGCCUGGAGACGUCACGGUCAGGUUUCAGGUUGUCAGUUUGGUGUGUCCCAGUCUUCAAUCAAACAAAUCCCCGGGGAACAAAUGAAGAGUAAAGUCCUAAUGAAUACGGUAAGGAAUACCGUUUUUUGGGUCCAAAACCGUAAUUCGUUUUAAGUGAAACUACCAUCUCACUACCAACUGACCUUUAAUAAACACUACACUACAGUCUCCAGGCUCAUGGCAUCCCCAAGACAAAUAUUUUAACGAUUCAUGUAAAAUCCGGGAUUACACUAGCAUUGUUUGUUGUUUGCCUUUGGCAUCUGAUAGAGUGGUUGGACCCGAAAGUGGUUGCGUGUGACGUCAGACUUAACAAACUGUUUCCUCCACAUUUCACUUAUGCAAACCGCCAGGCAAUACGAGAGGAAAGUCAAAGUCAAAUGCCGUUUAGUUUGGCAGGGGCAGCCUUUGUUUCAUGUUGGCUAAUGGCUUUUCAUCAAGAGCUGGAUUGUAAAUGGGAGUACAGACAGUAAAGCUCAUGACAGUUGAGAUGAACAAUCUACUUUCAACCAAUAACAAAGCUAUUCAACAGCGCUCUAUAUGAAAGCAUCUUCAUCAUUUGUGGUUUUGUAACGUUGCGUUUGGCUAAACGUAAAUGUAAAAUCUUUCUUUGACUAUCGAUUUAUUUCAUUUCUGUUAGUGUCGAUGCUUAUAAUAACAGCUUCUGUAUUACAGUACACCAACAGAUUUACCCUUGAUGAAAGUUAGUUACGCGCUAAUAAAGAGCCGACUGUAAGAAAAGUGUUAAUA